Molecule: ribosomal RNA, 520 nt
Filed under: uncultured Glomus
Lineage: Eukaryota; Fungi; Glomeromycota; Glomeromycetes; Glomerales; Glomeraceae
Description: SSU rRNA
Rfam family: Eukaryotic small subunit ribosomal RNA
Source: RNAcentral
AGCAGCCGCGGUAAUUCCAGCUCCAAUAGCGUAUAUUAAAGUUGUCGCAGUUAAAAAGCUCGUAGUUGAAUUUCGGGGUUAGUAGGUUGGUCAUGCCUCUGGUAUGUACUGGUCUCACUGAUUCCUCCUUCCUGAUGAACCGUAAUGCCGUUAAUUUGGUGUUGCGGGGAAUUUGGACUGUUACUUUGAAAAAAUUAGAGUGUUUAAAGCAGGCUUACGCUUGAAUACAUUAGCAUGGAAUAAUGAAAUAGGACGUAUGAUCCUAUUUUGUUGGUUUCUAGGAUUGACGUAAUGAUUAAUAGGGAUAGUUGGGGGCAUUAGUAUUCAAUUGUCAGAGGUGAAAUUCUUGGAUUUAUUGAAGACUAACUACUGCGAAAGCAUCUGCCAAGGAUGUUUUCUUAAUCAAGAACGAAAGUUAGGGGAUCGAAGACGAUCAGAUACCGUCGUAGUCUUAACCAUAAACUAUGCCGACUAGGGAUCGGAGAUGUUAAUUUUUUAAUGACUCAUUCGGCGCCUUACG